AGUCGAACGGAAUAAUGACUUCGGUUGUUAUUUAGUGGCGGAAGGGUUAGUAAUACAUAGAUAAUCUGUCCUCAACUUGGGAAUAACGGUUGGAAACGACCGCUAAUACCGAAUGUGGUAUGUUUAGGCAUCUAAAACAUAUUAAAGAAGGGGAUCUUCGGACCUUUCGGUUGAGGGAGAGUCUAUGGGAUAUCAGCUUGUUGGUGGGGUAAUGGCCUACCAAGGCUUUGACGUCUAGGCGG
RNAcentral lists this ribosomal RNA (242 nucleotides) under Chlamydia psittaci. RNAcentral's name for it is "partial 16S ribosomal RNA". It matches the Rfam family "Bacterial small subunit ribosomal RNA", at positions 60 to 290 of the family's 1533-position model. The record is from RNAcentral. Lineage: Bacteria; Pseudomonadati; Chlamydiota; Chlamydiia; Chlamydiales; Chlamydiaceae.